CACUGUUUAUUAAGCAUGGCCGGGCUGCCUGCAGAUAAUACUAACAGGCAACCAGGCAGAAAGUCGUUCAGACACAUUCGGCCAAAUCCUCAGCUGAUGCAAAUUGGCACGAAUGCAAUGGAGUGACCUCGAUUUACACCAGUUGAUGGUCUGCCUCACGGUGUGUGGAGUCCCUUUGGCAUUGUGGCGAGGGCCGGGGAAGGACGUCACAGAGCCGAUGUGCAGCUCCUAGGACAAUGGUGCCACCAGCCAGUUGGCAGUAGGUGGCACAUCAAUAUAAAUCUUAAAGAACAACAACAAUGGAAAGCAAUGGCUCUGCUCCAGGAUCGAGGUGCUACACAGCAGGAGUGAAGGAAAUAAAACCACAGCUUGUUUUUCGGGGCAAACCAUCUGCUGACAAACCCAGGAAAGAGCAACAUUCCCAGCUGAGCGAGAUGCUCAUUUCUAGGCCAAGGGGGAGUGUGAAUGCUCAUGUCGGAGACUUCCCAUCCGUCUGGCCUAUUAAAUCAGACGUUGCAGCACAGUCCAAGAAAGGCUGUCGGGACGCUGACGCUUCUUUGUGUGAGGUGAAAUGCUGAAGAGAGUUAUGAAUGUUAUUGCCUCCGUAACCAGAGAAAACACCUUUGUGGCCUCUGCAUUUGGGGACAGCAGGCCAAGGAAGGAAUUAUUCUGGCUUUCAUUUUCUAAGUACAAUUUUUAAAGCAGAUUUAAACAGCCAUGUAACACCAGACAUCUUCUCUCAGGGUACUGGUAAAAGAAGGCGCCAUCCUACAGCAAGGUGAAGCAAAGGAGCUCUCUGGAGUUCCUGACCAUGGGCAUGUGAGAGAAUUGUGCCGUCUUCAGAAAGUAGAGUGAACUUCUAGGGGGCUCCUCACUGCCAUCCCCAGAGGGUUUUGGAAAGUGGACCAGACUCUCCUUUCCAAGAAUAAUCACCUCUCUCAUCGGUGGGCAUGGUGGUAUCUAUCUGCUAAUGCACAUCCUGUCUGCAUAUUGAGCAGGAAGCAAAGCUCCAUCAGGACCACAUACUGAUCACUUGAUUUAUUCCUCUCACUUCCCGCCCCCAUAUGUGGCCAGACAGCAGAACCUCCAGAUUAAUCGUGGAGUGGCCUUUUCAUAGAGCUUCCUGUCUGCUCGCUCCUCACAAUGCCCCUACUGUCUGGCUUGAUUGCCUCGUACACGCUUACUGGAAUCAUCUUUCCAUUCUGAGCCAGGCUUUUCCCCCAGCUGGUGUAGCCAUCAGAUCUCUCUGAUGUUUGUUUUGUGAUCCCGGUUUGGAUCCCAAAGUUGUGCGAAAAAGGAACAGCUGCAGCUUGUGUUAUUUUGGCCAAUAGAGUUUAUUCAAUGACACGUCUGCAAUCCCAGUUUUAGAUUUAAAAAAAAAAAAAAAAAAAAAAAGAUUGCAAUGGGGAGGUAAUUAUUAGCUUAAUUGGCUUCUUUGAUAGCUUCAUUGAGAUAGCUUCUUUAGUACAUUUAAUGACAAGGAAAUUCAGUUAGCAAAUGGACAACAUUAGGGACUGGGUGUCUCUAUCUAGAGUCAAAACUAGUAAAUUAGAAACACUACUUUCAUUUGAAAUGAGGCAGUGUCGUGUAGUGGGUAGAGCACAGGAUUCGGGGUCAGGAGAUCCAGCUCUGCCACUAAGCUGCUGUGUAACCUUGGACACGUCACUUCCUGUCUUUGUUUCUCCUCCCACCUUAUUGAAGUUCCUUCGGGCCGGAACUGGUUUUAUUGCACCUAGCACAGUGCGGCACGGAUCUCAGUUAGAGCCUUUAGGCACCACCAUAAUGAUAAUAAAGCUGGAUAAUUUAUAUUAUUGCUUUUCCUUUGCAUUUAUACAACCGCCAAGUUUUGCAGGUAAAUAGUAACAAAUUCACACACGAGCUCAUUUCAGAUGAAGAUAGUGGAACUGUGCAGGCAGAGAUGGACUUUUUCCAGCAGCUUUGAAUAAAUUCAUUGGUAUGGCACAGAACACUCAAUGACCACCAUAUUUUAACAUCACCCUGUAUUUGGGUUUUUCCCCCACUUACUUUUGUGCCAAUAUGAACUACAAAUGAAGAUUGCAUGUCCAAAUGGUUGACUGCUUUGCGUUGAGAAAGAAGUGGGAGAUUUCCUUUUAGCGUAGACACGAAUUUGUUAAUCACAUGAAGGCUAACAUGGAAAAAACAGGUGUUAUUAAUCAGUAGUCAGUGCAAGUGAAGAUGUGUUUGCUAGACCUAUCAAGACUAAUUAUGUAGUUGCAUUCAAUAAAAGUGCCUGUCAGCACAACAAAGCCACAGCUUACAUAUAUCAUACAUAGUCCUACAGAUCAGUUACUUGGAGAAGACUGUGUAGGACCACCCAACUAUCAAACAUACUGAAGAGUCCAGUUUUCCACUGUCCAGUGAGAGAAUCCAAUAUUUCUGAUACCCAUUUUCCUGAGGGAGGUCUCAUUUCACAGGUUUUGAUUUUGUUGAUUUGCUGUUGCCAGAGGGAACCUCUAUUGACUUAGAAGUAUUUUUCCUUUGAAGACCAACAAAAAAAGAAACCUACCACAUGCCACAGCGCGUGGUUCUGCAAAUGCAAUUGCAUCAAGAAACCAUUGGAAAGACCACAUGCUUUGGGAACCAUCAAAUGGGUUCCACUUUAGCAAAUACUUUGCUGUAUUAAGGAAAUUAGUUUUGAGAAUGGACUUCAUAACUAUGAUGCAUUCUUCCUUGGACCAAAUGGCAUGCAGAGGAGAUGAUAGUGCAAUAUUACUAGGUACUCAAGAUCUUUUAUUAUAAAUCUAUAGCAAUCCAGCUAGUCUCUGAAUACAUUAAUUUUGUAAAUGUCCUAUAAUAGUAAUUGUGAAAGCCUCUUAUAAUUUUGUAAACUGAGUUUUGUCCUAAUCAGGAAGUAUUAUUUUCCCUUCCAUUGCACCGAUCUUUACUCAUCAUACUAAUAACAUUGUAUUUAAAUUUCAUUAUGCCACCAAUUGAAAGGAUAAAAUGUAAUGUUUACCCCGUAACGUUUUAAGUCUGGCUUGUAAGUAGAUCAUUUUUUCCCCUCGCACAAAUAUAAUUAGCAUUGAACUUGGUGCACUUAUGCCAGGGAGAUUGUCAUAUUGAAAAGUCCUUGCAAAAAAUAAUUAUAUCAGGAGGUUACAAUCGUAGCAUGUAAAAA
Long non-coding RNA from Trachemys scripta elegans, 3139 nucleotides. RefSeq lists it as uncharacterized. Lineage: Eukaryota; Metazoa; Chordata; Testudines; Emydidae. The transcript is spliced from 4 exons. The record is from RefSeq and is a predicted model, not a curated record.